CGAACGCUUGCUGCAUGCUUUAUACAUGCAAGUCGAACGGAGGCCCUAGCUUGCUAGGUGUCCUUAGUGGCGCACGGGUGAGUAACACGUGGGAACAUACCUUAUAGUACGGAAUAACUGCGGGAAACUGUAGCUAAUACCGUAUAUUCCAGUAAUGGGAAAGAUUUAUCGCUAUAAGAUUGGCCCGCGCAAGAUUAGCUUGUUGGUGAGGUAAAAGCUCACCAAGGCUUCGAUCUUUAGCUGGUUUGAGAGGACGAUCAGCCACACUGGGACUGAGACACGGCCCAGACUCCUACGGGAGGCAGCAGUAGGGAAUAUUGGACAAUGGGGGCAACCCUGAUCCAGCAAUGCAGCGUGAGUGACGAAGGCCUUAGGGUUGUAAAACUCUUUCAUCGGUGAGGAUAAUGACAGUAGCCGAAGAAGAAGGACCG
This 431-nucleotide ribosomal RNA is filed under the name uncultured Alphaproteobacteria bacterium. Its description in RNAcentral is "bacterial SSU rRNA". It matches the Rfam family "Bacterial small subunit ribosomal RNA", at positions 30 to 495 of the family's 1533-position model. The record is from RNAcentral. Lineage: Bacteria; Pseudomonadati; Pseudomonadota; Alphaproteobacteria.